Molecule: long non-coding RNA, 2582 nt
Organism: Vidua chalybeata
Lineage: Eukaryota; Metazoa; Chordata; Aves; Passeriformes; Viduidae
Exons: 5
Source: RefSeq, a predicted model, not a curated record
UUGUGUUUCCCAGGCAGUGGGGAGCAAGAGGGCAUUUGGUUCUGCAAGAUGUUUAACCAGAUCUGAAAACCUCACCAUGGAAGUUUAGGAAGAGGCGAUGUCCCACUGCAGCCAGGUGGAAGGGAGUGCCAGGUGUAGAUCUCCUGUGUUCUAAUGACUUCAGAAAAAUUGCUGCUUGUCUUCCCUCCCCCACGAGGCUGAAUCCCAGCACCCCAGAUUGUCGUGACUGCCUGGGAUUGGUGACAUCUCCAGUGAAAUGUGUUGGAGCAUCAAAACAGAGUGGGAGAAGCACAGCCUGGCUCCGGGAGCCAAAAAUAGGUGAAGUGCAAGAUAUCUUACCUUAGUCACUCCUAAUGGGACAGCCAUCAUUCACUUGUCUCGACUGAGAAUUAGUGAAACCUUUCAUGUGUCAGAGCCACCUGUAGCCAGGAACAAGACCAAGAUCUUCCUCUUCCGGGUGUGGAAACAGCGAGGAAUCCCCCAACAGAUCUGAUUCCAGCCGUAUGACCCAACACCUCAGCUGACCCUUUCAGGUAACACACAGAAAGGGCCAGGCUGUGCUGCUGUUGGUUCCUGCCACAAGCAAAGGUGAGGUUUGUGAGGUGUGCUGGGAUCCCCAGGAGCGAUGGGCUGUAUUUUCCAGGCAUCCUCAGCUGUUGGUCUAAGGUUAUUUCUUUGAUUUCCCAAGCCCAGAGGCAAAAGACCGUUUCUGUGUGCUAAGCAUCAAUUCUUUUCCUUUUCUUCUUAUCCUUUCUCCUCUCCACAGUUUUCCUCUUGCUUUGAAUUCUCUCAGACCGCUGCCAUCUCACUUCCCCUGGCACAGGAGAAAACGUGAUGGUGUUUACAGAGCAGAAGCACUGGGACUCAGGAGAUGUGAAAGGUGGCCCUGCUGGCUCUACCUCCAACACCUCUCCAUGGUUCUGACUUCCUGUCAGGAUAACCUGGACUAAAAUCCCUCUGUGCUUUUCCUUUUCCUACAGUGUCUAACACAACCUCAGAUUGGAUUCCAGUAAACCCUGCAUUUUGGAUUUUAGGUUCCCUCCAUCUACCUCUGAAAACCCUAAAUAAACAAACAUUGGAUUAGACCUCAACAGAUCCCUUGCUCAGCAAGGGAAGCCUUUAAAAGCAUUUUACACCAACUGCCCUGUUUGUGUUUCAGACUCUGUCAACCUGGCACUCAAGGAGCUCCACCUUCCUCUCAGCCAUCUCAGGGAACUCAGCUCAGUGUUUGGAAGGUUUGCCUCCAUUUAUGACCCUCCCUGAUUCCAGUGAGGAGCUGGAAUUGCUGUUGACCUCAGGAAUGACAGAAGUAUACGCUGGGGUUGGAGGGUUUCUGGCAUAUGACCUGCUAACCUAGAAUUUGCUUGGCAAAGUCCAGAGGAUGACUUUUAACCUCAGAGCAGUUUGCAAAACCACAUCUGUGACCAAUAAAUGUAAAAAAUUAAUGAAAAAAUAAAUCUAGCCCCUACUGAAGGAUGAAAGACAGCACACCUUGCUGGGCACUGGUGCUGGAAUCAGGAUGGAGAUUGGGACUAAUCGGACAGGCCAUGUGCCAGAUGUUGUCCAUGAACUGAGCCAAUGCCUCACACAAGGGAGGCAGCACAGCAGGUUAAACUGAAGGUAUCUCAUAGCUCUAAGUCUUAAACUUAACGAGCCACGUCUUUAUUUGUGCUGCAGCCCCUUCUUAGCCCAAAUUGCCUUUACCAGCUGCCAGAGGAUGCCUGGUAACGGAAAAUUCUCUGGGUAACAAUAAAUUGGUGUAACGAUUGAGUGUCACCUCACAUCCUGCUAAGCAAUAGAGAAAUCACCACGAGAAAAAUAGGCACGACCAGAGUGGCACUGAACAGUGCAAUCCUAAUUCCAUCACCCUUCUUGUGGGCGACUGAUAACCCAGAGCAAUUUACAGCUGCUCUGAAGCGGCUCCAAGUCUCAGCAGGAGUCGGGAAAGCUCAGUGUAGCCUCGGGACUGAGAAGUCGAAAGGAGCAGGGGAGUUGUUGUUCCAUAACCUUGCCUUUGCACCAAAACCAGGGGGCUGGUUUGGAAUGGGAAGCACUCCAAGCAAAACACAAAAUUUUAAUCACCGAAAUGAAGGUCCUCCUCUGGCUCCCUCUCUGGAGAAUAGUCUGUCUCUGAUGAUCGUGCACAGACUCCCAAAGAAGGUAAAUUUUGGAUUUUAAUCUCUACGUCAGCGUGUGAAUGACAGCGUUAAAUCUUGGCUGUAAGGCUGAGAUAUCUCCAAGAGGAGAAAAACACUUUUUCCACUUAAGUGGCUGAGGUAGAGGAGGUAAAUAUAUUGUCUCCCACUAUUAAAGGGUGAGGAAAUCAUUUAUACAUGUGUAUUACACCUUUUCACUUAACAGUGGAGUUCUUUUUUAAAUUCAAGAGUCUAAAAGUUUAGAAAUACCAACAUUAAGGUGGCCUAUGCAACUGUAAUUUGUCCCUUCCAUGCAUUUGCAUUAUGAUACAGUAUUUAAUUCUAAUUAGAUCGCAUGCUGUUCUUUCAACAGGUUCCUGGCCUCACUCAUUGUACAGAAUAGACUCUGCUCACUAAGUAAUAAUUUUAUUUUCUCCUCGCUGUUCA